Long non-coding RNA from Catharus ustulatus (Swainson's thrush), 2712 nucleotides. RefSeq lists it as uncharacterized. The record is from RefSeq and is a predicted model, not a curated record. Lineage: Eukaryota; Metazoa; Chordata; Aves; Passeriformes; Turdidae. The transcript has 2 exons.
UCGGCAGCCCCCCGCGGCCCCCCGGCCCCCCGUGCCAAGGCUGGUGGCUGGCAGAAGGGCUGCCUGCGCCUGGCAGGGCUCCGUCAGCUGCGGGAGGAUCCCUGUGCCGCGCUCGCUGCCAAUUUCCCUGCGAGCUGGCACCGCAGGCGGCUCCGGAGGCACCGGCAGAGAAGGCUGGGGAGGACGGAUUGUGAAAGGGAGAGAGGAGAAAAAAAAAAAAAUAAUGGACACAUGCCAUCGCUGGAGCGGUGAGGCUGCCAAAACGCCAGCAGGCAGCGGGGGCCAAAACCCACCGGCGGCGGAGAGGAGGGUCUGGCAGCGCGUCCCGGCGUGGGCACAUGGAGGACGGGCAGCGUGGAGGAGGCACGGCGUGGCUGAGGCAGGACGGGCGGCAGCGGAGGAGCCGCACAGGACAGAGGUCUCAGGAGCUGCCCCAGCCUGGCCCUGGAUGUCGCUGUGCCACCCCUCCUGUUGUGGGACAAUCCUGGGGCUGUGGCUCAGGUGAUGUGAUGGAUGUGGAUGUGCCACCAGCCUGGUCCUUGCUGGGAUGUGCCAACAACUGCUGAGCACCGAACCUGCAGGGAUGUGGCAAUGGGAAUGGGAUUUCCCCUGUGACCCUGCUGCAGCCACCAGGAUCCAGCAUCCCUGGGAGUGAGGAAGCUUUUUCCAUGCAGAGGUUUAUCCAUGCACAGGUUUAUCCAUGCAGAGGUUUAUCCAUGCAGAGGUUUAUCCAUGAAAGCACAAGUGGAGCUUUACCAAACAUUUCGAGGGCCUGUGGCAGCCUUGGGGCCCGGAUUCUGCCUGGGAAGGAGGAACGUGGUGCCAGCCCUGCUCCAGACCACAGGAGCACAGGAGCUGAUGCCAGCACCACCCAGGGGACCUGCCUGGACACUCUGAGGGCUGUGCCAGGCCCUGCUCUGCUCACCUGGAGCCCCAUCAGCCCUGAUCCCAGCCCUUCUCCUUGUCCUGGGACGCUCUGUGUGGUGUGCCCCAUCCCCACCCCACACCAGGAGCUGAGGGUGCCAUCCCACCCUUCCAUCCCCGAGGAACUGGGCUGGGAAAUGCUGUCGGGGGGCUGCUUUUGGAGGGGCCAGGGGAGCUGGAGAGGUUCUGGGGUGCUGGGUGCUGCGGGUGCCCGGGGGCAGGCGGGAGCUGCCGGUCACUGCCAGGUUACAUCUGCCGGGGCACGCAAGAGUGACUCCAGAUGCAUUAGAAGUGCCGUGCUCCAAUUUCAAUUUCAUCGUCUCACAAUCAUUUUCAGGCUCCUCUUAGUGCCACAUUAACGAAGCCUGCUCGUUUGAAUGCAUAAUUAGCCCAAGCAUUCUACCUCGCUAAUUUCGAAGCAAGGGGGGGGAGAGAAGGGGGGGAAUUUGCAUAUUAAUUUAGCAGAGGGAGAGAAAAACUGUUUACCACUUGCUUCUUGCUGUUGAUCACAGCGGACUUAACUCUUUCCCGGGUGCCAUCUGGAGCUGCGGAGCCGGCGCCCAGCCGGCACGUGGGACGGGCUGCAAAGGUUACACACAGCAAUUAAAUCCUCCCGACCACCCGGGCUGCCCCGGAGCUCACUGCGAGCGCUGGGGCUGCGGCUCCUGAGAGCGCAGGGCACACAAAGAGAGGCUGAGGUGGAGGUGGCAGCUCCAAGGUGCCCCCCUGCCCUCCUCCCCGUGUCACUUCAGGGUGACAGGGUGCCAUCCCGGAGCUGUCCCUGCCAUCCUUGGCAAAGCCAGAGGAGGGAUUCCCAACAGUGCCAUCCCUUCUAUGAGGAGUGUUUGGAUCCACUCUGUCAUCCCCUUCAAAGGGACACAUUUGGCCUCAGGUCUCUCUGAUUUUUAACAUCAUCCACCCAUAAAUGAUGUUGGAUGAGCGUGUGCCUUCCCCAGGAUCCCUCUGCAGGAGGAUCAGGGCACGCUGAUCCACAGAUGCUGCACACAAAGAGCACCCGAGGAGCUGGGUGGGCAGAGCUGAGCACUGAGAACUCCUGACAGCCCCCCAAACACCAUCUCCCUUUGUUUGGGAGUCUGUGGGCGUCUUGAGCCGAGGUUGGAGGUAAUUUGUCUGUCUCCUGCAGCGGGCUGUCAUCUCGCAUCUGUGAGCCAGUUCCAUUUGCACUGCCAUUAAAAAAAUCUCAGGUCUGACAGGUAGUAAAAAAAUACAUUGAAAAAACAGCAACAGGAUGUUGGGAAUAUCACGGGCUCGUCGCUGCUGGACCACCCUCACACCCGGCUAUUGCUGUCCAGGUAUUGCUGGAUGUGAGGGUGGUCACAACCUAUUUUGGCCUUAGGACGUGUAUCCCCAGGGAUAUCCCCUUUGCACCUCCAUCCCAGCUCCCCAAAAUGCUUUCCUCACCCCUGGGGACCGCCUGCCCCAUCAUCCACCCUGUCUGGCUGGCUCGGAGCCAUCCCAGCGCGUCACAGCGUUUUGGGGACACCUCCAUCCUCGGCAUCCCUGUGCGACUCCCGCAUCCCAGGCGCACGGAGCGAUGCCCGGGGGUUUAUCCUGCCCCUGCUCCGGAGCUGCGGGGAAGGGACACAUCCCAAAUGUGCCUCUGGGGUCUCCGGAGUGGCCGGAGCGGUGCCGGCGCUGCGGAGGAGCGCGGGGCUGGCUCGGAAAGGGUUAACAGUUGAUUACAGCCUUUGUCUCCGCAUCAGUGUACAUAAUGCGACCGCAUUUGCAUACUGCAGUGUGCGCUCAAUUAAAAUGAACUUUUAAUUU